RNAcentral lists this ribosomal RNA (253 nucleotides) under uncultured bacterium. Its description in RNAcentral is "partial 16S ribosomal RNA". It matches the Rfam family "Bacterial small subunit ribosomal RNA", at positions 524 to 776 of the family's 1533-position model. The record is from RNAcentral.
UACGGGGGGGGUAAGCGUCGUUCGGAAUUACUGGGCGUAAAGGGCUCGUAGGCGGCCAACUAAGUCAUACGUGAAAUCCCUCAGCUUAACUGGGGAACUGCGUGUGAUACUGGAUGGCUUGGAUUUGGGAGAGGGAUGCGGAAUUCCAGGUGUAGCGGUGAAAUGCGUAGAUAUCGAGAGGAACACCAACGGCGAAGGCAGCACUCUGGGCUGGAACUGACGCUGAGGAGCGAAAGCGUGGGUAGCAAACAGG